Molecule: ribosomal RNA, 266 nt
Filed under: uncultured bacterium
Lineage: Bacteria
Description: partial 16S ribosomal RNA
Rfam family: Bacterial small subunit ribosomal RNA
Source: RNAcentral
UGCCGGCGACCGGCGACGGGUGCGUAACGCGUAUGUAACCUACCUUUGACAGGGGGAUAACAUCGAGAAAUUGGUACUAAUACCCCAUAACAUCACCGGAGGCAUCUUCGGUGGUUGAAAACUCAGGUGGUCAGAGAUGGACAUGCGUUGUAUUAGCUAGUUGGUGAGGUAACGGCUCACCAAGGCGACGAUACAUAGGGGGACUGAGAGGUUAACCCCCCACAUUGGUACUGAGACACGGACCAAACUCCUACGGGAGGCAGCAG